RNAcentral lists this ribosomal RNA (408 nucleotides) under uncultured bacterium. RNAcentral describes it as "partial 16S ribosomal RNA". It matches the Rfam family "Bacterial small subunit ribosomal RNA", at positions 28 to 526 of the family's 1533-position model. The record is from RNAcentral.
GACGAACGCUGGCGGCGUGCUUAACACAUGCAAGUCGAACGGAGUGGCGAACGGGUGAGUAACACGUGGGUGAUCUGCCUUGCACUUCGGGAUAAGCUUGGGAAACUGGGUCCAAUACCGGAUAGUGCAAGAUGAGGUCGCGGCCUAUCAGCUUGUUGGUGGGGGAAUGGCCUACCAAGGCGUAGACGGGUAGCCGGCCUGAGAGGGUGUACGGCCACAUUGGGACUGAGAUACGGCGCAGAGUCCGACGGGAGGCAGUGGUGGGGAAUAUUGCACAAUGGGCGGAAGCCUGAGGCAGAGGCGCGGGGUGGGGAAUGAAGGCCUUCGGGUUGUAAACGCGUUUCGACAGGGACGCGGUACCUGUAUAAGAAGCACCGGCUAACUACGUGCCAGCAGCCGCGGUAAUAC